GAACAGCGCUUAGCCGUGGUUUAUUAGCCAUAUACCACACCUCCUCAGGCCCUUUUGCUUAAUUAUACCAUGGCAUUGUUGAAUACUCAUUUCCGAUUGGCUUGAAGGGCAUUCUAGAGCACGCAUUAUUUCCCUAUAGCCCACAGUAUAUUUGCACGGUAAACUUCAAUGGAUAUAGUUCUUCCAUGUUCUAUAUUUGAGCUGCUUCUGAAACAAAAGUCGAAUUGAAAACCUUUAUUGGCUUUGUUGAAUUGGAUUUUCAUAAUAGCAAGCUAGGACCGAUGGUUUGGAUAGCAAGGCGAUUACUGUCACUGUCUAGUAAAACUUGCUAGCUACUUCAGUGGAUGUUGAACACAUUUCUACCAGCAAAUUAACCCAUUUCUAGCGCUAGAUCAACAACAGGAUCUGGAAGUAAUCACGGAGGAGCAUCCCAUAUCACCACAGAAGGGACAACUUCCAACUCCCCCAAACCACUCUCAUCAGCAAGCUUUCCAACUGACCAACCAAAACCACUGCGUUUUCUAGUAGUAUAUUCCCAACAGUCAUCUUGAAAAGUAGCAGUGGGAUGCUCAACCCCACAGCCUUUCAACCUAACCCAAUAAGCUAAUGACAAUUUUUUAUGCCAUAUAUCCAAAGGCAUCUCACCUGCCUCCACUUGUAAAGUACAUACAGAUGCUGAUUUAAAUGCACCAAUACAUAUCCUUAAAGCUAUAUACUGGAUUCUGUCCAGCUUCUGAAGCCAAGUGUUCGUCACUGUUCCAUAAACUACGCAUCCUUAAUCAA
Long non-coding RNA from Oncorhynchus kisutch (coho salmon), 783 nucleotides. RefSeq lists it as uncharacterized. The transcript has 2 exons. Lineage: Eukaryota; Metazoa; Chordata; Actinopteri; Salmoniformes; Salmonidae. The record is from RefSeq and is a predicted model, not a curated record.